RNAcentral lists this long non-coding RNA (19978 nucleotides) under Podarcis lilfordi (Lilford's wall lizard). The record is from RNAcentral. Lineage: Eukaryota; Metazoa; Chordata; Lepidosauria; Squamata; Lacertidae.
GUGCAAAACUCUGCAUUCACAGUCCUAUCGCAGUGAACUGGUAGAAACCAGCAUGGACUGGCCUUUUCUUAGAGGUUUUGGGAACAGAACAGAUUCACAAGGACAGCAAUCCACCCCCCGCCCUUAUGACAGUUUCAUCUGUUGAAAUGAUCCUCUGAAAAUGGCAGUUUGGGGUGAGGAGAAAGAGAAUAUUUUCAAUGCUUCCUCUAAUUGUCUCUUUGGUGAUCUAUCUGAGGUUUUAUAAUGAACUGAAUACAUUUCUUGAAAUGCAACCCCUGGGCACACUUGAAACGAUUCUCUGCUUCAAUCAUACAUGGGAUGUUUCCAUAACAGCAAGUAAUUUGUUUUUUAAAAAAUAAUAAUAAUAAAAAUAACACUGCCUUUGUUUUUCGGCAAAAUUGCCUAUAGAUGGCUCCCCUUUCCCUCUGUUUCUGAGAUUCAUUGAUCCCUCAGAAUGUGUACAUGCUAUUUUUGCUUAGAGAAGCAAAGUCGUUCCCCCCUCCCCAUUUAGGAAAUAGCUUCCCCUUGGAAAUGGAAUUAGGGGUUUGUUGUCAUGGCAACAAAGAUUUCAGCACUUCUGUUUCCUACAACAUAUAUCUCUCUGGGUUGCUGCAAUUCUAGUGCUUAUCAGUGUUUUAUCCAUUGUGAGUGAGCUUGGUGGUGCUGACAUGUAGAACAAACUUCAAAGCAGUGACCUAGGAUAUUCUCUGAGGAUCAGAGCAGCUGUCACUAUAUCCCAAUUAUAUGGGGUUUUUUUUUAGCAUUGUGUCCAGUUCUUGAACAAAGUAUCAUUAAACUAUCAAGCUUGCAGUUGUUGCUUUGAAAAGUGAUCUCGAUGUAAAAAUGAACAUAAUACCUUUAUGUACAGAGGUGGGUAGGGAAACUGAUUGGCUAGAACAACCAGUAAAUAUUGAUAAAUAGCGACACAAAGCUUACCUGGGGGAGGGGGCAGAAUAGUAUAAUGAUGAAGACAUGGGCAGCAAACUUCAAAGAAUGCUAGGUGCCCACUUAAAUCCUGCAUUUGAAAAUGUAGCAAUUAUAUAGAGAACACAGACAUAAUCCAUGACUACUUUCUGUGGUGUCGUCGGAGUAGGGAUUCCGAAAUUGUGUAGGCCAUUUGACAUGGCAAUUGUGUUUGCCAUGGUUCCAUGAGUGCUUCUUGCAGUGCUUCUGUGUGCAUAAUUUGUCAAAGGCACAUAUUUGUCACAGGCCCCCUGUACAUUUAAAGCAACAACAUACCACUUUAAAUAGCCAUGACUGCCCCACUGCAAAACUCCUGGGAACUGUAGUUUGUUAAGCGUGCUGAGAGUUGCUAGGUGAUCCUUAAUCCCCUCACAGAGCUACAGUUCCCAAUUCCCUGGGAAGAGGGAUUGACUGUCCAACUAUUCUGGGAAUUGUAGCUAGGAGAAGGGAAUAGCAGUGGCAGAAUCUAGGGUGUCUAAUUUCAGCGGCACCCUGUGAAACACCAAAGUUUGGCUCUCCCUGCCUCUCAUCUUCCAUUCUAUAUCAUAGCUGCAGCACCCCCCGGUGCCCGCACCCCAAAGGCCUGUGCAACCAAACUGGUCAAAUUCUCCUAAAUUCAUCUCUGGGAAUAGGGUUCUCUUAGGAGCUCUAAGCACCCUUAACUACUGUUCCCAGAAUUCUUUGUGAGGGGAAGCCAUGACAGUUUAAAGCAGCAUGAUACUGCUUAAAUACAUUCUGAAGAUGGGGCUUUGUACACCAGGAGGUUUGUCAGGCGUCCCAGAUGAGUGAGAGUUCUCUGCGGACAACUCUACAGCAUAUUUCAUGCAUUUGCCUUUCAUGCUUUAGCUCUCUUGAAGGAAACACCAGUUUAACACUGGUGCAGUGUGGCAAACAACCCAGUCGUUUUACAUGGUGUGUGAAAAGGUCGUCUUGAGGCAGACCUUAGCCAAGUGCCAAAAUUUGACAGCAGAACCACAAGCUCUUUACAGACCCCCGUGAUGGUAGUGUGGAAGGAUGAUCCCACAGCUAUCCUAGAUGAGAUUCUGUGUUGCUCUGCUUGCCUGCUUGCUAAUAUUUGGGGGAAACCUAGACCAAACUGCAACCGAGUGUUCAGAGAAAAACAAACUUCACUUGCAGAAUCUUUAACCUAUUUUUAGAGUUCAACCUAUUAAGUGUAUGAAAUAAUGUUAUGUGAUUCAUCCUGAAUCACAUAAUUCCAAAGGGCCCUGAAGUUCCAUGGAGUAGCAGAGAUUUGAAUAUAUUUAUCUUGUUUCAUGUUGUCAUGUUAGGGAAUGGGCAUUUAUUAAAGGCCAGAAAGUAGGCAAAUUCUAGUAUUUCCUGCUAUUUCAACAUGGUCUUUUUACUUCAAAAUAACAUCAACCUCUAUCCAGCAUUUCUUUAGCUGUGCAUACAACAAUAUAAAGGAGGGGAGGCUGUGUCUGUAACUACAGGACUCCAGACCACACUUUGUCGUAUGGUUCCUUUUUUCUGGGUGUUCCCUCCUCCCACAUUGCUCACUUGCUACAUUCCAUCCUCUGGAAUGGAAAAGGUUUUUAACUUGGUGGUAGAACAUCUGCUUUGCAUGCAGGAGGUCCCAGGUAUAAUCCUCUGCAUCUCCAGGUAGAGAGCCACUGCCAGUCAGUUUAGACCAGAAGUGGGGAGGACCUUUGGCCAUGUUUGCUGGGGCUGAUUGGAGAUGUAGUUCAGCAACAUCUGGAAGACCAAAGGUAGACAAUACUGAGUCAGAUGUACCAGUGGUCUAAGUCAGUGCUCUGUGUUCCUAUCUAAAGCCUAUUUUCUUCCUAGGUCUGUACAGACUGACAUUGUUUAUACAUCAGGAUAAACCAGAGGUAAUGGCAUAUCAUGGUUUAUUGAGAAUGAGCAUUGUGCCCAUACAGGCUGCCUGUUUUCACUUUGCCUAGUGUGAAUACAUACCCUCCAAGUGUCCCAAUAUUCCAGGGACAGUCCCGAAUUAUGAAAGCCAUCCUGGCUUUUGAUUUGAUCCUGGAGCAUCCCUUUUCCCCUCACCAGCACCACUGUCAGUGAGCUUAGGGAAGAGGAUGAGCUGGCGUUGUCCUGAGCAUCCCAUUGCCUCUCCAUAGCCACCACUGCUGGCCAAGGGGACGCGGGUGGCGCUGUGCACUAAACCACUGAGCCUCUUGGGCUUGCCAAUCAGAAGGUUGGCGGUUUGAAUCCCUGCAACAGGGUAAGCUUCCAUUGUUUGGUCCCAGCUCCUGCCAACCUAGCAGUUCUAAAGCACACUAGUGCAAGUAGAUAAACAGAUACCGCUGCGGUGGGAAAGUAAACAGUGUUUCCGUGCGCUCUGGUUUCCGCCACGGUGUUCCAAUGCACCAGAAGUGGUUUAGUCAUGCUGGCCACAUGACCCGGAAAGCUGUCUGUGGACAAACACCACCUCCCUUGGCCUGAAAGCGAGAUGAGCGCUGCAACCCCAUAGUUGCCUUUGACUGAACUUAACCGUCCAGGGGUCCUUUUACUGCCGACCUCCUCCUCCCUUGGGCACCUUGUAGCAGCUUCAGGAGCAUGGGCAAGGAGGAGAAGAGGCUGCUUCCACCAAGGUUGACAUGCCAGCUCUAAGGGACAGGCAGAGGGCAGGGCUGUCCUGGGCAAGAAGAAAGGGGGAGCAGAGCAUGAUGCAUCUCGAUUUUUAAAAAAGUGCUUUGUGCACUCAUGUCUAAUCUUGCUCCUUUCUAAAAUCUAUUUAUUGGUGUAUGUUUUCCUUUUUGUACAUCUACCAAAUAAUAAAAUAAAAUAAAAUUGGGAUUAAGUUGUUUUCUCAGGAUGGCAAACAGUGUGUGUGUUGUGUCCUUUUGGAGUAAACGGGGGUGGCAAUCGCCUUCUUGUGAUAGGAAAUGCUCUGCGGGCAGGUGAGAUGACAAAAAAUGGGGGUUGGGAGUGAGAAAUGCCACUAUUUUCUUCUGAGGAAUGUUGGAUGGUACGUGAACAGGAAAUACAAAACAGGAAGCCGGUUAAGCUUCCUAUGACAUAUAAAUCCAGGAUCGUGGUUGUUUCUCCGUACAAUCCAGGUUGACUUACAAAUCUGGAAGGAAGACACCAGGAUCCCACAUUCAGAUGCUGUGAGAAGCCAAGACGUCCUGUUUUGUUUCUCCCCAACACACCAGGGAAAGAAUGAUGUGGGGGUGACUGGGCAGUGAACACCAACAUGCUCUUUUUUCCCAAAUCAAACACGCUAAGCCAGCAACCGUGGCACCUUGUGACAUGCAGUUGUGACCCCUAAGUUCUACAAGAACAACUAGGCUGCAUCAGAAUUAUCUAACUUCAGCAGAUAUUGUUGUGAUGAGGAGGCCAACAGAGACAGGACUUAAUGCAGAAGAACAGAGGCUUUGAUAUUUUUCAAGGUAUUGCAUUAAAUCUUAAUAAGAAAAUGUUUAAAGGUUAUAUAGUGGGUUGUUUUACAAUGCCCUAGUGGUUGUGAGUUAUACCUGUGCUUUUGCACUCAUUGCACGAAACACUGGAAGAUGAAAGCAACUUUGCUUCUUAGCAGUCAGGUAGUCUAUUUGCAUCCAAGGUUAUUAUAUGGGUUGUAAACAGCCAUUUCCUUCAUUCUAAAAUGUGUUGCUGAGCGAGUUCCAUCGUGCCCCAUCGCUACACUGAUUCAGGUGGUUGGCGAAGACCUGGCCUUUUUUUAAAAAAGUGUCAAAUUUAACAAAGAAACAACAAAUAACAAAGAUAGAUUUUUUUAAAAAAGUUGGGGGGACGACACCCCCCCGACAAUACACACUAUGAGUUCAUUUGAGACUGUAAUAGCCACAAGCUUUUCCUUCUAAAAUUAAACAUAUAAAUCAAUAUAAGCCUCCUAGAUGUCCAAACAGGUAUCCACACAGAAUUGGUAUUUAUUAAAAAUACAUAUGUUCAAAUGCAGCAAGGGUGGUAAGGUCCUCAGACCAUUGCAUAAUGGAUGGUGGGUAUUGAUUCUUCCAGGCUCAAAGUGCAAGUCUCUUGUCAACCAUAAGGGAUUCCAACAUCCACUUUUGUUGUGCUGCUAUUAAUCCCUGUACUGUAGAAAUACAGUUCAAAAGUACAUGAACAUCUGGCAAUACUGAAAAUUUUGCUGGUACACAGUUCAUAUUGGUAACAAUUUCAGGCUAGGAUGAAUAUAUCUCCAGAUACAUCAUAUGCCUCAAUGAGGCCUUUUUAGCAUUAGACCUUCAGCAUAUAAUUAUUAGACAGUGCCUUCCAGUACAAACACUGUGGACUCAAAUUGAGACUUGUGGAUCAGUAUCUCAUCCAUCCAUCCAUCCAUUUAAUUUAUAUACCACCCUUCAUCCAUGGAUCAUAGGGCAGUUUACAGUAUAAAAACACAUAAAUAUUUAACAUACAAACAAACAAAACGAUACCCAACCCCACAUUUCAACUCUAGAGAAAUGUUCUGUGUAGAUUCCAAAACAAUUUCCCAUUGUUUAGGUUGUACAGCACAUUCUAAUUCCCUGUUCCAGAUCUCUCUGAAUAAGCAGCAGUCAUGGCUGUAGCUUUAUUAGGAUAUCCAAUAAUUCACUUAAAUAGUUCAGGAGAUACUGAAGCACUCAAAGCAGGUGUUCCAUAAACAGACACUAACAGGCAUUGUCAUUGACAAUUUUGCCAUUCAGCACUUGUCAGUAAAUGAUAUUUAAACCACAAUAUGGAAAAUGGCAAAAAAAUUACAUCUGGAACUAUGAGCUGAUCUAAUGUAUAUAUCCCACAAUCAUUCCUUCUACAAAAAGCUGCCUCCCUAUCCUCAAAUCUGGAUUACCCCAUAAAGUGAUUUUUUUUCUAUCAUAUGGGUUGAAUUGUAAUUGACCAGACAAGAUACACUAUGUCACUCUAGUUGCAAAAAUUGCAGGUGGUAUAGGUCCCUUCCUUUUAUGUACUUAAAAGCUAGUUAUCCUGGGAAGGGUGUUCAUGCAAUCACCUCUAAAAUUACUAUGCUGUGAUAUUAAUAGAGGAAGGAACUUGCCCAUUGUUUGUGUUAAAAGAUAUGCCUUGUGGUAUAAGCUAAGAUCUAGAAAAUGAAAUUCUUCUUGUACUGGUAGUUGCAUUCUCUCUAGUGAGAAGUGAAACGGAGAGUUGUCCCACUGAUCUUUGAAAAAUAUAUUCACUACACUGAAAUAUCAUCACACUACUUCAAAUGGUUGGUGAAGAAUCCCCCCCAGCCGUGUAUAUUUUGCUGGUUCCCUUCCAUGUUAAGUUUAUGCUGCUGGAAUUUGUUCAACACUUUCCAUAUUGCUUGCCUCCAGACUGCCCAUAUUUUGCAGGAGGGAUUCAGUCGCAUAGGUUUGUGCAAUUAAAGUGGAUUAAAGCACUCUGAUGCAACAAAUCCACCCAAAAAAAACAACAACCCAGACUGACUUUUUGUGGUUAGGAAAGUGACAGGUAAAUGUACGUAUAACCACCAUGUAAUAAAAUCACAAUGAACUCAGGAUGAAUGCUCAUUGUCACAUGUUUGUGAGAGCAAGCAAAUCAGAGUGAAUGCUCCAUAAAACUGGACAUUGUCUAACCUGCUCAUAAGUGUGUUGCAAGCAAAUCGAGACAAAUCUUCAAUAAACAGGAGGAGCACAUUGUUACCUUAUUAGUUUCAGUGCACAUUAGUUUUUGUUUCCAAGGAAUUAUAUUUUCUUCUGUUUUCUUCUGUUUUUAUUAUUGUCUGUUUGGAGAAACAAUUCGGAUUAUUUCUUUAAAAUAAUAAUAUUAAUAAUGGUGAUGUGUUUUCUUCCAAAUCAUUUUUUACCAGUACGCAAAAUUCUGCAGAGUCAAUUGUUUCAUCGGUUCACUAAGAUUCCUUUAACCAAAAUAAAAAAUUCCUUCCAGUAGCACCUUAGAGACCAACAAACUUAGUUGGUCUCUAAGGUGCUACUGGAAGGAAUUUUUUUAUUUUGUUUUGACUAUGGCAGACCAACACGGCUACCUAUCUGUAAGUAUUCCUUUAAACCAGUCCGAGUCUGCAACCCAGGCACCACUUAACUGGAGUAAGCCCCAUUAAAGUCAACGAGACUUACUUCUUAGUAGACAUGGUUAGGCUUGUACUGUGGUGUUUGGCUUCGUCUCUGAACAUCAGUUGACCUCCGCUUUUCUUUGUUUACUGUCAAUGCCUAUGCUUAUAAUCAGUUGCCUGUUCUAAGUUUAGAAUACCUGUGCCUCAUUAACUGCUCUGAGUGCUUCUUGCUCAUCUAAUGGUGCAUGAAGAACGUUUCUCCCCAUGACGGAGGUGAGAGAGCAUCUUGGUCUUGUUAGAGGCUGAAGUAGGUUUACAGGCUGAUGAUGCUUCAGUUAUAAUUGUGUUUGGAGCAAUUUGCCCUUUAGUUCCUCCUUCUCUGAAAAUGGGGGGGGGGGCGCGCGCGAGAGAGAAAAUACACUUUUUAAAAGGCUAUAAAGAAAAACAAGUUGAGGGAUGUGUAUUUUCUAUUUUAAUACUUUCCAAUCUUUGGAAUGUGAAAACUGUAUUAUUAUUAUUAUCACCGUAUUUUUCGCUCUAUAAGACGCACCAGACCACAAGACUUGGAUGAGGAAAACAAGAAAUUUUUUUUUAUGAAUCUCAGAAGCCAGAACAGCAAGAGGGAUCACUGUGCAGUGAAAGCAGCAAUCCCUCUUGCUCUUCUGGCUUCUGGGAUAGCUGCGCAGCCUGCAUUCACUCCAUAAGAUGCACACACAUUUCCCCUUACUUUUUAGGAGAGAAAAAGUGAGUCUUAUAGAGCAAAAAAUACGGUAUUUAAAAUUUAUAACAUGCCCUGUGAAAGCUGAAUGAUGAUGAUUUCAAUUAACCCAAUGCCUUUUUAAGAUGUGUUGGGGGGGCGUUAUUGGGUUGUUUUGUUUUUUAUUAUGUAUUUUGUGUUUUUAAUACUGCAGUUCUACAUUGCAACCACCCUAAGACCUGCAGGUAUAGGGGCAGUAUACAAAUUUAAUCAAUAAUAGCAAUAAUGUAUACACAUUUAAUCAAUAAUAGCAAUAAUUUAUAACUUGCCUUUCCUUCCCAAGGAGCCCAGGGCAGCAAAAUGUUUAACAGCAAAUAUCAUUUCAAAACUCCCUUAAAAAAUCAUUCUAUCAAACCCUUUGUUUUUGUGCCUCUUUUCUUGCAGCAUGUGGAUUCAAAUCAGAAUACCAAGUCAUGAUAUUCACAGUUUUUGCACGCACACUUUACAGGUAUAAAUGAAUGGAAAGAAGAGAUGGAAAAUGUCCUGCUGGUAAGCUAGGGCAGGGGAGCAGGGGUUUGGCGAAACUUUAUAUAAAGACUGUAAUUUGAAGACUGUAAUCUGCUCCUGAACAACUUGUGACUUUACAGCCAUGCAGCGUAGCCGACCAGGUGCUUGAAAACACUUGGAUUUCUACCGUUCAAGGCAGAGAUGAAAAACAGGAAGUUUAUCAAGCCCCUACUGAGCCAGCAUGUAUGGAUUCAAAUUGGGCAGGCGUGUUGUAAAUCAAGUGUAUUCCAGUGUGAUGCAAGAGUCCAGAUGUUUGUCCUACAUUUGGAGGUGUUUGUUUGCCAUGAAUGAAAAAUCGAGUCAAAUAGGAACCAUUCUAUUCAGUUUCCAUUGGUUCUGAAAUAAGAAAUGGAAACUCUUUCGUCAUUCACGUCUAUACUAAGUUUCAUAUGAAUGGCUGGGCUUAUCUUUCUGUGGUGACACCGACCUAAAGUGAGAUGUUCCAGAAGUAUGACAUGACAGGAUACAAUAUGGUAGUUUGCAAACUGGAACAGUUACUUCCGGGUUUGCUGUAUUUGGGAGCCAAAAUGUUCGAGAACUAAGCUGUUCGAAAACCAAGGUACAAUUGUAGAGUUUUCUUGCUUCAUUGGAAAUGAUGCACCUGGAAUUGGAGUUCAGAAAUGUGAAACAAAGAGUACAGAGGAAAACAUGUAGGGGCAGUUUUUGUGUCAGGGAUGCCUCCACCUGAAUUUUGGCGACAGGAGCAAAGAGUGUUGCAUAACAGCUAGAUAUCUUUGUGUAAGAGUAUCUCAUAAAAAAAGGGACGCGGGUGGCGCUGUGGGUUAAACCACAGAGCCUAGGACUUGCUGAUCAGAAGUUUGGCGGUUCAAAUACCCGCGACAGGGUGAGCUCCCAUUGCUUGGUCCCUGCUCCUGCCAACCUAGCAGUUCAAAAGCACAUCAAAGUGCAAGUGGAUAAUUAGGUACCGCUCUGGCGGGAAGCUAAACGGCGUUUCCGUGCACUGCUCUGGUUCGCCAGAGGCGGCUUAGUCAUGCUGGCCACAUGACUCGGAAGCUGUAUGCCAGCUCCUUCGGCCAGUAAAGCGAGAUGAGCGUCGCAACCCCAGAGUCGUUCACGACUGAACCUAAUGGUCAGGGGUCCCUUUACCUUUACCUUUAUCUCAUAAAAAGGAAGGUGGGGAACAUGUGGCUCUCUAGAUAUUGUUGUAUUUUAGCUCCCAUCAGCCGUAACCGGCAUGGCCCAUGGCCAAAGGUGAUAAGGGCUGUAGUCUAAUAACAUCUGGGAGUCAUGGGUUCCCUACUCACAUAUUAAAACCGUUUUAUUUAAUGGCUUCUCACUGCAGGCUCCUGGAGUAUUUUUAUGGGGCUAUAAUAGCAAUGGAAUAAAUAAUGCAUUGAGCUCAUCAAUAAAGCUACAUAUCAACCUCAGCAAUUUGUAACAUUGGGUAUUUUUAUUUAUUUAAAAUAUUUGUAUCUCCCCUACCAAGCAACAGUUCACAAGACAGCUCUGUAGAAUGUCUGGCCAUUGCCCGAUGAUAGCUAUGCCUCCUGACUGCUAAACAAAGUGUGUGAGUUAUUUCUUACACUUAAAAAAGGCAAAUUAAGAAAUGUGGGGCUAGAUGGGUUCUAUUUCUUUACGCAACUGAUUUCACGAAUGAGAGUUAUGCAUUUUUGCAAUGUAAUCUUUGCAUCAGCACUUGAAAAAAAGAAAACGAGAGAAUUAGGAUCAGAUUGUGUUAACUUAAGUUUGAGUUCUGCUUUGCAACAAGUUCUGCAAGUAAAAACCAAAGAAGCUGAAAGCACAAACCAAUUCACUUUGGUUUCAAUUUCUGUUGCACAAAGUAAGAUAUCAUUUGUAGCACAAUGUGAUGCUUCUUCUGAGCUGACAGAAGGACCAGAGGCCAUUAAAAGCAUAUAAAAUAGGUAUUUCAGAGGGAUCUCACUGUGUGCAUUAAGUAUGUUAUUUAACACAAUCCUGAAGGCUUCUACAAUAAGGGCAUUUACACAGGAUGUGGUUGCCAUGUUGAAGCCUCUUUAAAUUGCCUCCUGCAGUAACGAGUUCUGCGUGGCAAGCUACCUGCAUCCAAGCCCACCCAGGGAUAGCUGUGGGUGGGAUUCCUGCAUUGUAGGCGGUUGGACUAAAUGAUCCUUAGGAUCUCUUCCAACUCUACAAAUCUAUGAUUCCAUGAUUCUAAUGAGUUGCCAUGUGAUAUGGUGAUCUAUCCCAUAUCUUACAGAAAUGAUUUGGUCUCAAAAACUACCUUCAGAAUUUCUUCAGCAAGUGGUAAUGUCAAAUAUGGCUUGAUAUAUUCUGAAUAUUCAAGUAGUUGGGAAAUCAUCAGUAUUUGACACCUGGUGACAUUUGAUUUCAGUACUUGACAGCCUUUUAUCAUUGACUUGCAGUGAUAUUUAGCACUGGACUGUGGAACAGGUGGCAUGCAAUGAUAUUUGGUAUGUGACAGCCCCAGACAGACAACAUGCAAUGGUAUAUAUUAUUUGACAGUUGGGAUAUUGAUAGCUACCCUAUUAAGCACCUGCCAAACACAAAACAAUCAAAAAGUGGCACUUCCAAAAUUCAAGCUUGAAACCUAAAUGCAGAAAUUAGGAAUUCUUUUUAUAACUUGGUUAAAUUAUCAAACUUGGUGAAAUUUGACUCUGGCUCCAUUUUUUACAAUAUGGAUGUGAUAAUGCUUUUUGCAGUUCUCAUUUUAUGAAAGUUCUUUUUAUAGAAUCAUAGAAUUGUAGAGUUGGAAGGGAUCUCAAGGGUCAUCUAGCCCAACCCCUGCAAUCUCAACUAAAGCAUCCAUGACAGAUGACCAUCCAAUCUCUGCUUAAAAACCUCUAGUGAAGGAGAGCCCAACGCCUUCCAAGGGAGUCUGUUGCCUGUCUAGACCCCGCAACCACCCCCUCGUUGAAGAAUAAAACGCACCAGGACACAGAUAUUAGGUUAAUGUUAUUGGGCAAAUUUUGGCCGUAACUUUAUUGAUUACAGAAUGUGAGCGGUAAUUGGCUUAGGCAUUGAAUGGACCAGACUAUAUCUGACUCCUGCCCGUUGUGCAGGGAGUCCGGUAAGGGUAAAUGAAAUAUACUCGGAGUCUAGUGUGGAUUUCAUGCUCUUUAUUCAGCUCAUAGUAGUGAGGAAUGGAAUUUUCCCCGAAAUGCCUGCUUUAUAUACAUUAUUUACACAAUGGGCCCCACGUGAUUGGCUAGUUCUGGGAUUCUCCUGUAGGCCAAUCAGGUUGCGGAUUCACUUCCACCUGGAGUUGGAUUGGGUGGCUCCUGUGGACCAAUCAGACUGCUGCAUUCUGAAUCCUAUUGUUCUAGGACCAAUCAGACUACUGCAUUCUGAAUCCUAUUGUUCUAGGACCAAUCAGACUCCUGCAAUUUGGAUCCUAUUCAACUCAGUACAUAACAGUAAACCACCAGAAGGGGGAGCCCCAUCGAUGCAGACAAACUCGAGCUCCCCCACGUGCUCCCGACGGGGUCGUGUCAUGGCCCUAGCCCUGCCCUGGGCUUCGGACAAGAUCCACGCCCCCGGAUUCCUUUAAUGGAAUACCCUAAAGCUUGGAGGGGCAGGUGAUGGCCACACCUCCCCUCCCUCAUCAAAAGGUCAAACAAUGCCUAACCGCAAAACCUCACAAAGUUGUGACGAUUGCUACAAGGUAGGCGAAAACCAAAUGGCCCGUGCCAAUUUUGCCAAGUGGAAAAAUUCCAACCAGGCCCCUCAACGGCGACCAACCAAGGUCCAUAGCAAGGCCAAUGAAAACCUGCAAAAGGGAGGGAGGGCGGGAGAUUGAGGAAGCCCCCCGGCUAGCGCCCUCACUUAAAUGGUCUCGGCCAUGCCCCCACCAGCCGGCAGAUUGGCUGGCUGUGUGCUGAUGCGGCCAGGAUCCCCAGGGCAAUGCAGGACUUCAUCCCCCGCCCUUGAGGGAGUGGGUGGCCAUGCGGUCCACCGCAACGCCUCCCCACUAGGAAGUGGAGCAGAUUUCCUGACCACUCUUACUGUCAGCUCUUACUUCAUGAAGUAACUUUUAAAGUCCGUUUCAAAUAAUGCCCCGCAAAGCACCUGCAUUUAGCUUCUGUUCAUUUCAUACAGAAUUUGGAAUAAUGGCAGGGGGUUGGACUAGAUGACCCUCGGGUCCCUUCCAGGUCUACAAUUCGAGGAAAGCUGCAUUGAUUCGGAACACCUAGCACUAAGCUGAGGCUUUCUAACAGAGUUUGUGCAAUGAAACAAUCAUGAAUUGUUGAUCGAAUCGGCCCCUUUCCUUUAAAUUAUGCUGAGUGGUGGUGCGAAAGUAAGAAAAACCUCAAAUGACAAACAGCAGGCUACAAGGACUCAGCAUCGCUUUUCAUUUCUUUGCUUUUGUCAGUGUUUGUCAAAAAGCUUUAAUGGUUUCCAAAACCAUUUAUUCCUUCCAUUACUGGCUUUUUCAAAACCUCAUAAUAUUUAAAACACUUACCGUAAUUUCAUUUCUUAAAAGAACAUCAUGCAGGUAUAUAAUUAGCGUGGGAUCAAACUGGAUUUUUCCCCCCGCCUGUAAAAUACAGCUGCAAUCAGCUGAAAUGCCAGCUCAGGCUGUAAUCCUUGAUGCAUGUACCUCAAAGCAAGCUCCAUCAAACUCAGAGGGCUUACUUCUGAGGAAAUAACAAUAAUUUUAUUAUUUGUACCCCACCCACCUGACUGAGUUGCCCCAGCCACUUGGGGGGUGGGCUUCCAACACAUAUAAAAGCAUAACAAAACAUCUAAGAUUAAAAACAUCCCUACAUGGCCUUCAGACAUUUUCUAAAAAUUGCGUAGUUACUGAUCUCCUUGAUAUCUGAUGGGAGAGUGUUCCACAGGACGGGUGCCACUACCGAGAAGGCCCUCCAUCUGGUUUCCUGUAGCUUCACUUCUCACAGUGAGGGAACCACCAGAGCUGGACCUCAGUUUCCGGGCUGAACGAUGGGGGGGGGGGUGGACUACAACUCCCAUCAGCCCUGACCAUUGGGCCAUGCUGCCUGGGGCUGACGGGAGUUGGAUUUCACCAACAGCUGAAAGUGCCCCAUCCCCGAUCUAGUCCUACCACACCAUGUCCCUGCUGUUGCUGAUCAUGUCUAUUUUCCUCUCCUGAGUUCCUCGCUGUGUAUUUUCCUCCCCGCCUUUCUCUGCCAUUCCGUCCUACGAGUGAUUUGCACCAUUUCAAGUUAAGAUGUUGAGAGAAGAGCUCGGCAGGAAGGCGGAUUGUUUCUAAGCUCUUCAAGGCCACUUUUGUUUUCACCCAUCAAAAAGCGAGAGAGAUUUCUUGAAUAGCACAGAGCCUAGGGCACUGUUACGUUAAAUGCAUUUUAAUGACAUACAACAGACCUUGGCAAAGAUGUUCCUUUAGAAAUUCUCAUUCUCCCCACCCUCCACCGCCCACCAACCACCUUACAAACAGCCAUCCCAAUAUUAACAAAGUUUGGGAUGGCUGGAAAAUGGUUUAAGAUGUGCAUUAGCCUGGAUAAGGAGUUGGUUAGCACAUGAUGCUGAUAAUGCCAAGGUUGUAGGUUUGAUCCCUAUUUGAGACAGCUGCAUAUUCCUGCAUUGCAAGGACUAGAUUAUCCUUAGGGUCCCUUCCAACUCUACAGUUCUAUGAUCAUAUGAAUGAACUCUGAGAUAUGCAUUAAAAACAAUAGAACUUAUGAAGCUGCCUCUUACCGAGGACUCAGCUACAUUAGUAGAGAAAUAGUUUUAAAUGAGUUAUAACACCGUUGACACCAGAUGGCGCUGUAGAGUUCCGUCUUUCACAAAUGUGAUUUCUCAUUAUGAGGUUUACAACGCGUUUUCCUGAAAUGCUUUUUUUUAUGUGUCUAGAUCCAGCCUGAGUCAGGUCGUUGGUCCAUAUAGCUCAAUAGUGUCUAUACUACAGGGGACCCUCCCAGCCCUACCAGGAGAUGCUGAGCACAGGAACUUUCGCAUCUCAGAGUGGGCAAACAAAUGUUAUGCACACACGUGUCUGCCAAUUUUUAUUUAUUUAUUUAUUAUUUUAUUUAUUUAUUAUUUUAAAAAGCAAGCCACUUCUUUAAAAACAAUGGGUUGGUGCCGAACCCUUUUCCAUUCACAUCUUCCCCAUUCCAAAUGGCCCCAAACUGUUUUCAUCCCCGCUGUGGUGGGUUUCAAAAUGAAUGUCUGCAUUUUGAACACCGUUGGGACGAAGUGUGUGAAAGUUGUUUUAAGGACCAGUUUGGUGUGGGAAGCUGUAGUCAGAGAAAGGGCUAACCACCAUUUAGCCAGUGUGGUGUAGUGGUUAAGAGCAGUGGACUCGUAAUCUGGUGAACCUGGUUUGCUUUCCCUUUCCUUCACAUGCAGCUGCUGGGUGACCUUGGGCCAGUCACACUUCUCUGAAGUCUCUCAGCCCCACUCACCUCACAGUGUGUUUGUUGUAGGGGAGGAAAGGAAAGGAGAAUGUGAGCCGCGUUGAGACUCCUUUGGGUAGUGAUAAAGCGGGAUAUCAAAUCCAAACUCCUCUUCUUCUUCUUAUGCAGCAUCUCAGCUCCAAAUCUCGCUCCCUUCCUGUGACUAUUUAGUUGCAAACCUUACAACAAUCUGGUAAACAGUGCUUUUUUUUCUGCACCAGAGUGCAGUUCCAGCACCUCUCAGGUGAGUGUCAUUGAGGGCUAGCGCUGCCCCAGCCCGCUUCUUGCCUUGACAUACUUCCAAGAAGCCCAAAAUGAAUAUUUCAAGUCAAAACAGAAGCUGGCCAGUCUACACUUUUUUUUAGAUCUAGCUCCUAGCCACUCCUGGCCAUAAUUGGUCAAGCUAUGAAAUGGGACCAAUUCAUAUUUCUUUUUCUUCAGUCCAUCUCCUGUGUACCAGUGGUGCACUUCAAACUUUCCCGCCAGGCCUCUACCAUUGCACAUACUGUGUGUGUGUGAGGGCCCUUAGAUGGCUGCCUUAGCCAUCUGCCUGAAUCUAAGAUAUAGAGGGAGGCAGCGGUGCAUUUAUUUGUCCCGCACCAGAACCAGGGGUGACCCCCCCCAAACCAGACAGGGAGACAGCUUGUUGUAGUUCUUAGCACCUCCACAGGUGGUGAAUGUGGCUGUGGUCAAACCGGCAUCUGUUCAGGGCUGCCCCGAGGUGUCCGGCAACUUACUGUAACAACUUCAUGGUGAGUUUUGGCACCUGUUUUUCUUGGGGGGAAAGCACUGCCUGUAAAGUACAGUGGUACCUCGGGUUAAGAACUUAAUUCAUUCUGGAGGUCUGUUCUUAACCUGAAACUGUUCUUAACCUGAGGUACCACUUUAGCUAAUGGGGCCUCCUGCUGCCAUCAUGCCGCUGCCAUGCGAUUUCUGUUCUCAUCCUGAAGUAAAGUUCUUAAUCCAAGGUACUAUUUCUGGGUUAGCGGAGUCUGUAACCUGAAGCGUCUGUAACCCGAGGUACCACUGUAUUAUAAUCGCAAAUGGCAACACUGAGGCUGAGAGAAAGUGGUUUGCCUUAGGGCCAACUAGUAGGCAUAUGGCAGAAGUGAGAUUUAAACCAGUGGCUUUCUGAUUCACAGCAUGCUAUGCCACACCAGCUCCACAGAUUCUAAUCCAGAGACUUGUGCAUAAUGUGCAAAAAGUCCCUGACUUGCACUCAGUCUUAAACACAUUACAUAGCUUUCUCUCUCUCCAACCACUGCAAUGAAUGUGGGGUUGGAAAAAAAGAAUGUAGAGAAUAGCGCUUGGAGUUUUUGCUUUUUGGGUAGUUUUAAACAUUUGUUUUCUAAAUAUCCUUGGGCCAGACCUAACACACAGAGUGAAAGAGAGCAGGAAAAAUAUUCAGCUAUCAUUAAAAAAACAUGUAAAGCUACCAGUGUGAUUUUUAUUUUCUCCAGGCUUCAACACAAAGUCUAAACAUUACCUGACAAAGAAAACAACUUUCGAAAAUUUGCUAAACUCCACCUUGGCAACACUUUUCAACAGCAAAGGAAUCUUGCUCUCACACUCCAAACAACAUUCAAGGUAACUCAGAUCUGGAUCAAGCAAAGAAUCAGCAUUAAUUUCAUAGUAGCUUGUUCUGAGAUCUCCAGCCUGAUUUCCACAUCAAAGAAGGUACACUCUUUUAGUUAGGUUUUGGAUACUCUUCCAAACCAAGCCCUCAACUCUCUUGAGCUUUGCCCAUCAUUAAUAUUUACCCAAGUCAUCAUCCAGAAAAACUGGAGGCAACUAUUAAUUCCUUCAUACUGACUUUAAAAUGGAAGAUCAUGCUUGGGGACAGAACCAUAGGCUGCCUCUGUUUCAAGAGGGGAAAAAUAGCAAACCCUCAGAACCAUUUUUUUUGCAUCCUCUUUGAUGUGAAAACUUCCCUACAGAUAUUUCAGUACGGUUUCCUAAGUUAUAUGAGAUGUGGAGAAUCUCCACAUCUUCAAAGUCAGCUGACCCAAACCUUGCUUGGCAAAAUCAACAUCUCUGAGAAUAUUAACAUAAUUUAAUGUUUUUAUAUAUAUAUUUUCUUGCAGAAUAUUAUGAUCUGAAGUAAUUUCAUCUGGGGCAGAGUUUUGUUGAUUAUUAUUAAAGGUAAAGGGACCCCUGACCAUUAGGUCCACUUGUGACCAACUCUGGUGUUGCGGCGCUCAUCUCGCUUUAUUGGCCGAGGGAGCCGGUGUACAGCUUCCAGGUCAUGUGGCCAGCAUGACUAAGCCUCUUCUGGCGAACCAGAGCAGCGCACGGAAACGCCAUUUACCUUCCUGCCGGAGCGGUACCUAUCCAUCUACUUGCAGUUUGACGUGCUUUUGAACUGCUAGGUUGGCAGGAUUAUUAAUAACUGUCAAAUGAUUAAACAAAAAAGUUAACAAAAUGGCUAUAUAUUUGCUCGACUGUGUUGCAGGCAGAGAAACAGUGGUUUACGUGGAGUCACGGGUCAUUUCCCUGUGUAUACCAGAGGGAAAGAAUAAUCUGAAGACAAGGACUGGGGAAUGCGUUCUAUGGCAGACCAGCUGUCUACAGCAGACCCCCACUUGUCUACAGCAUCUUCAGAAGCAGAGAGAGAGAGACAAGAGCUGAACAGCUUAGGGGGGAGUUACCCAGUUAUGAGAUAAUGAUAACAGAACCAGAAGGGAGGGGGCAGCUAGUUGAGAGCGUGGGGGACCCCUCCUUCACCACGGACUCGGAGGCCCAAACAUAUGAGAGAGCAAAGGAGUCAGAGGGAGGGAGGAACUCCCCACUGGCGCCCAAAAUGCUGUGGAAUGGGGGAUUAGACUAGCCAACUGCGCUCCUUGCGGAGAGCUGUGUAUCUGUGCUUGCAACAUGAUGCUGUAAUAAACGGACCAUAAAUCUUAUCAACUGCUUGUUAAUUUGUAUCUGUGAAGUUGCCGAAGGGAGGCGAGGACUCUCCACGCCUGACAACAUUGCUUCUGGAUUCUUGGCUGUAAUUCUGGGAAAUCUCAUGCCAGACUCCUGCUGACUUCGUUUGGACUACUGAGCUGAUUGCCGGGGUCAUUGAUUGCAGUGGAUGGCGAUGUUUGCUUUAGCUUCAAAUGGACUUUAUUCAUGAUGAUCACUAGUGAUCGUUAAAUAUCUCAUCACGGCACUCAGCCCUAUCCAUCAAGGCACUUGCUGUUGUAACGACUGCAUAGAAAUAAAUUACUCUCUGCUUUAUGUUGUCCUAGUGGAGUGGCCCAAUAUAAAAAUAUUUCAAAGGAGUGCCAUAAAUUAGCCCCAGUCCUCGAAUUAAAUACGGGAAGCCGAAGAGGACUCGCGGUGCUUCGCUUGCUCCAAAUGGCAAGGGGGAGUGGAGCUCCUGAUGCAAAUUGCUGGAAAGAAACAAAGCCUGCCUUGUUGAUGAUGAAACGAGCAUCUGUUGAAUUGUAAGAGCAUCAGUAUAGUUUUACGAGAGUAGCUUUUAUUCACAGUGCAGCUCAAAUUCAGACUCAGCAUGGGUCUGUGUUGCACAAGCCAGCCCCAUUAUGAAGUUCUGAUUACACAAGGAAGGAGCAUUAAUGGUCGGCAUCCUCUAAGGAAGUUUCUCUGGCCAUUGGGCAAUACCCAAUUAACUCAUUCUAUCAGAGCUAGGAUUUUGAGCUGCAUGCAACAGGAUUUCCCACCUCCUCUCCCCAUGCAUGGACCACACUGUCCCCAAAUCUGCCCUGGAGGGUUGGGGAACCCCCAGAACAGAUUUAAGGAGCAUGUGGGAUGGAGGCAGAGAAGACGCUCCAUUGUGCAAGCGGAAAUCCAUGGAUGGAACAAGUUAGUUGAAUACGUCCCAUUGAAGUGAAUGUGGGGCUAGGCUUUGAGUGUUCCUCAGUGGUGCAGGGAUGGCACUUUGCAUAUGCUCAGAGGCAGGAUGAAUUGCUUUUUCAUUAGCAGGGGAAAGAGUUGAUUGAUGCCACUGUUGUAAAUUAAGUUUCCCACUGAUAUGUCAUCUGUUUGCUAAAUGGUGCAUGCUUGACUAAAAUCUACAGCUGAACAGAACAUCAGCAAGGCCAUUUCAACGUUACACCCCUUUGUUUCAUUGCACACAUUUUGUGUCCUUCCCAUAUUUGCCUAUACAAGGAAUGACUUUCUUUCUAUACACAUAAAAUGCCCUAAACAAAAAAACAAAUCUAGAAGUGUAUUGAUGGUGUGCCUUUUUUUUUUUUUUUUGUCUCAGCCAAUGUUAACCACUAUAUUCCAGUGUCCUCUUCCUGUCACAGCACAUGGGAUAUUUUGUUACCUUGAGAAACACUGGAAUUUGGCUCAGGGUAGUAAAAUGGCCCCCAAACUGGGUAUGUAAUUUUCUUUGUCUCUGUCCAAGAAGAUUUAGUAUGAGCUGUGCUAUUUUUCUAGAAAAAGAAAUGCCAGAAUUCAUCACAAACACCUCCCUUGUUCUCUUAUAAUGGCAGUGGAGCCCAUCUGAGAGGUGAUGGAACUGAAUUCUGGUGAACUCCAGCUGAAAAAAAGUCAUGAGUAUGAGAAUAUAGAAACGUGAGCACAAGUACAAAGUAGUAAUCAAGAAUUAAAUGCCUGGUAGCAUGGAAACAUUAUCUCAAGGACCACCACCCUCCGUUGAUGUGGGUGGGAGACUAUGCCAUAGCUCUGAAGUGUGUUAAGACUUAAGCUGUGUGUGUUGAAUCUUGUGUGUCAAUCAUGAGCACAAAAAAAUCAGAUUGGAAUGACCCAUUUAUAUGAGAUAUCGCUCCCAUCUAGAAGUACCCUUGAAAACAAACCAACAUCCUCAGUUCACUAUUUUAUUAUUAUUUUUGUCAAAUUUAACUAUCAAAGCAGAGUUCUUCCACUUGAGGGCAUGAAAUUAUUUGAUUGUUCAUCACAGAAUAUUCUUUCUUUUGCAGACAUUACUGUUUCAGACCAUCAUCACUGACCUCGACGAAUGGGGACAGAUUGAUCUUUUUAUUCUGUAGAAACUGAUGACACAGACUUUUGAAGUAGUUUUUCUGCACUUUCUGCCAGAGGAGCUGUGCCAAAUAUCAAUCCUUAACUUGAAAGAAAUCUUUUUUUUAUUUUCAAGUGAGACGGGUUUUUGUAUGGCGAUCAGUCAAAUUCCAAAUCACUGCAAAAUGUGAACUCUGCUUGUUUCUAUGAAUAUUAAUGAUGCUUCAUUCUAUGGGUUUACUCCCCCCCAUUGUGUAACUCCAAAAUGACAUUUAAAAUUGUUCAUUAAAAAGACAAAUUGCUGCAUGAGGACUGGAGUUGUUUUUAGUGUAACAUCACACCUUCGUGUAUUGGAGGCCGAAACACUCACUGGUCAAAUGGCUUUAAACUUUCUUUACAUUCAUACACUAACAGUUCGAGGGCUACACAGGAGUAAAUCCUGUGGCAAUCAAUUGGCACUUUUGCCCUUGUAAAUGCAUAUAGGUAGAGAUGGGAGACGCUGUCAAUUUCAGUUUCUUGUUUUUCCUAAUCUUAAAU